The submitters of this non-coding RNA (36 nucleotides) gave its source as unclassified sequences. The record is from Rfam.
AAGGCGGUAUCUGAAAAGCCUGUAAUAGAGUAGGAG